Molecule: ribosomal RNA, 328 nt
Filed under: uncultured eukaryote
Lineage: Eukaryota
Description: partial 18S ribosomal RNA
Rfam family: Eukaryotic small subunit ribosomal RNA
Source: RNAcentral
CCCUUAGAUGUCCUGGGCCGCACGCGCGCUACACUGAUGCAUGCAACGAGUUUAUAACCUUGGCCUGAAAGGUCUGGGUAAUCUUUUGAACGUGCAUCGUGAUAGGGAUAGAUUAUUGCAAUUGUUAAUCUUGAACGAGGAAUUCCUAGUAAACGCGAGUCAUCAGCUCGCAUUGAUUACGUCCCUGCCCUUUGUACACACCGCCCGUCGCACCUACCGAUUGAGUGGUUCGGUGAAGAUCUCGGACUUCGAUAUUUAUUCUUUAUUGAGUUUAUAUUGUGGGAAGUUAUCUAAACCUCAUCAUUUAGAGGAAGGUGAAGUCGUAACA